AUGCACGCUGGCGGCGUGCCUCAUACCUGCCAGUCGCGCGAACAGACGAGGAGCUUGCUCCUCUGACGUUAGCGGCGGACGGGUGAGUAACACGUGGAUAACCUACCUAUAAGACUGGGAUAACUUCGGGAAACCGGAGCUAAUACCGGAUAAUAUAUUGAACCGCAUGGUUCAAUAGUGAAAGACGGUUUUGCUGUCACUUAUAGAUGGAUCCGCGCCGCAUUAGCUAGUUGGUAAGGUAACGGCUUACCAAGGCAACGAUGCGUAGCCGACCUGAGAGGGUGAUCGGCCACACUGGAACUGAGACACGGUCCAGACUCCUACGGGAGGCAGCAGUAGGGAAUCUUCCGCAAUGGGCGAAAGCUUGACGGAGCAACGCCGCGUGAGUGAUGAAGGUCUUCGGAUCGUAAAACUCUGUUAUUAGGGAAGAACAAAUGUGUAAGUAACUAUGCACGUCUUGACGGUACCUAAUCAGAAAGCCACGGCUAACUACGUG
This 496-nucleotide ribosomal RNA is filed under the name uncultured bacterium. RNAcentral's name for it is "partial 16S ribosomal RNA". It matches the Rfam family "Bacterial small subunit ribosomal RNA", at positions 29 to 507 of the family's 1533-position model. The record is from RNAcentral.